RNAcentral lists this ribosomal RNA (443 nucleotides) under uncultured bacterium. Its description in RNAcentral is "partial 16S ribosomal RNA". It matches the Rfam family "Bacterial small subunit ribosomal RNA", at positions 338 to 795 of the family's 1533-position model. The record is from RNAcentral.
CCUACGGGUGGCUGCAGUGGGGAAUAUUGGGCAAUGGGCGCAAGCCUGACCCAGCAACGCCGCGUGAAGGAAGAAGGCUUUCGGGUUGUAAACUUCUUUUAUGAGGGACGAAAGAAAUGACGGUACCUCAUGAAUAAGCCACGGCUAACUCCGUGCCAGCAGCCGCGGUAAUACGUAGGUGGCAAGCGUUAUACGGAUUUACUGGGAGUAAAGGGCGUGUAGGCGGGACUGCAAGUCAGAUGUGAAAAUUAUGGGCUCAACCCAUAACCUGCAUUUGAAACUGUAGGUCUUGAGUGAUGGAGAGGCAGGCAGAAUUCCGGGUGUAGCGGUGAAAUGCGUAGAGAUACGGAGGAACACCAGUGGCGAAGGCGGCCUCCUGGACAUUAACUGACGCUGAUGUGCGAAAGCGUGGGUAUCAAACAGGAUUAGAUACCCCUGUAGUC